AUUUCUUGCCUUUUAUUUAUAUAGUUUAAAAAACAUUACAUUUUCAUUGUAAAAUUAAAUAUACAUAUUUUAUAA
RNAcentral lists this transfer RNA (75 nucleotides) under Broxylus kalamensis. RNAcentral describes it as "tRNA-Glu". Lineage: Eukaryota; Metazoa; Arthropoda; Insecta; Coleoptera; Lycidae. The record is from RNAcentral.